GACGAACGCUGGCGGCGUGCCUAAUACAUGCAAGUCGAACGCUUCUUUCCUCCCGAGUGCUUGCACUCAAUUGGAAAGAGGAGUGGCGGACGGGUGAGUAACACGUGGGUAACCUACACAUCAGAGGGGGAUAACAAUUGGAAACAGGUGCUAAUACCGCAUAACAGUUUAUGCCGCAUGGCAUAAGAGUGAAAGGCGCUUUCGGGUGUCGCUGAUGGAUGGACCCGCGGUGCAUUAGCUAGUUGGUGAGGUAACGGCUCACCAAGGCCACGAUGCAUAGCCGACCUGAGAGGGUGAUCGGCCACACUGGGACUGAGACACGGCCCAGACUCCUACGGGAGGCAGCAGUAGGGAAUCUUCGGCAAUGGACGAAAGUCUGACCGAGCAACGCCGCGUGAGUGAAGAAGGUUUUCGGAUCGUAAAACUCUGUUGUUAGAGAAGAACAAGGACGUUAGUAACUGAACGUCCCCUGACGGUAUCUAACCAGAAAGCCACGGCUAACUACGUG
RNAcentral lists this ribosomal RNA (508 nucleotides) under uncultured bacterium. RNAcentral's name for it is "partial 16S ribosomal RNA". It matches the Rfam family "Bacterial small subunit ribosomal RNA", at positions 28 to 507 of the family's 1533-position model. The record is from RNAcentral.